AUGAAAAUCACUGGACCAUUCAGGUAUGACCUAAAUCAAAUCCCUUACGAUUAUAUAGUGGAAGUGACAAAUAGAUUCAAGGGAUUAGAUCUGAUAGACAGACUGCCUGAUGAACUAUGGAUGGAGGUUCGUGACAUUGUACAGGAGACAGGGAAGAAGACCAUCCCUAAGAAAAAGAAAUGCAAAAAAGCAAAAUGGCUGUCUGAGGACGCCUUACAAAUAGCUGUGAAAAAAAGUGAAAAGCAAAGGAGAAAAGCAAAGAUAUACACAUCUGAAUGCAGAGUUCCAAAGAAAGCAAGGACAGAUAAGAAAGCCUUCCUCAGUGAUCAGUGCAAAGAAAGAGAGGCAAACAACAGAAUGGGAAAGACUAGAGACCUCUUCAAGAAAAUUAGAGAUACCAAGGGAACAUUUCAUGCAAAGAUGGACUCAAUCUUUAUUGACAGAAAUGCUAUGGACCUAACAGAAGCAGAAGAUAUCAAGAAGAGGUGGCAAGAAUACACAGAACUGUACAAAAAAGAUCUUCACGACCCAGAUAAUCACGAUGGUGUGUUCACUCACCUAGAGCCAGACAUCCUGGAAUGUGAAGUCAAGUGGGCCUUAGGAAGCAUCACUACGAACAAAGCUAGUGGAGGUGAUGGAAUUCCAGAUGAGCUAUGUCAAAUCCUGAAAGAUGAUGCUGUGAAAGUGCUGCACUCAAUAUGCCAGCAAAUUUGGAAAACUCAGCAGGGGCCACAGGACUGGAAAAGGUCAGUUUUCAUUCCAAUCCCAAAGAAAGGCAAUGCCAAAGAAUGCUCAAACUACCACACAAUUGCACUCAACACUAGUAAAGUAAUGCUCAAAAUUCUCCAAGCCAGGCUUCAGCAAUACGUGAACCGUGAAUUUCCAGAUGUUCAAGCUGGUUUUAGAAAAGGCAGAGGAACCAGAGAUCAAAUUGCCAACAUCUGCUGGAUCAUCGAAAAAGCAAGAGAGUUCCAGAGAAACAUCUACUUCUGCUUUAUUGACUAUGGCAAAGCCUUUGACUGUGUGGAUCACAAUUCCCUUGGUAUCUCUAAUUUUUCUUGA
RNAcentral lists this long non-coding RNA (1062 nucleotides) under Bos indicus x Bos taurus (hybrid cattle). RNAcentral describes it as "lncRNA (ENSBIXG00005018786.1)". Lineage: Eukaryota; Metazoa; Chordata; Mammalia; Artiodactyla; Bovidae. The record is from RNAcentral.